AUACUUACCUGGCAGGGGAGAUACCAUGAUCAUGAAAGUGGUUCUCCCAGGGCGAGGCUCAUCCAUUGCACUGCGGAUGUGCUGACCCCAACGAUUUCCUCAAAUGCCGGAAACUUGACUGCAUAAUCUGUGGUAGUGGGGGACUGCAUUCACACUCUCCCCUG
This 164-nucleotide small nuclear RNA is filed under the name Chinchilla lanigera (long-tailed chinchilla). RNAcentral describes it as "U1 spliceosomal RNA (ENSCLAG00000018533.1)". It matches the Rfam family "U1 spliceosomal RNA". Rfam says of the family: U1 is a small nuclear RNA (snRNA) component of the spliceosome (involved in pre-mRNA splicing). Its 5' end forms complementary base pairs with the 5' splice junction, thus defining the 5' donor site of an intron. The record is from Rfam by way of RNAcentral. Lineage: Eukaryota; Metazoa; Chordata; Mammalia; Rodentia; Chinchillidae.